GACGAACGCUGGCGGCGUGCUUAACACAUGCAAGUCGAACGGAAAGGCCCUGCUUUUGUGGGGUGCUCGAGUGGCGAACGGGUGAGUAACACGUGAGUAACCUGCCCUUGACUUUGGGAUAACUUCAGGAAACUGGGGCUAAUACCGGAUAGGAGCUCCUGCUGCAUGGUGGUGGUUGGAAAGUUUCGGCGGUUGUGGAUGGACUCGCGGGUUAUCAGCUUGUUGGUGGGGUAGUGGCUUACAAAGGCUUUGACGGGUAGCCGGCCUGAGAGGGUGACCGGCCACAUUGGGACUGAGAUACGGCCCAGACUCCUACGGGAGGCAGCAGUGGGGAAUAUUGCACAAUGGGCGGAAGCCUGAUGCAGCAACGCCGCGUGCGGGAUGACGGCCUUCGGGUUGUAAACCGCUUUCGCCUGUGACGAAGCGUGAGUGACGGUAAUGGGUAAAGAAGCACCGGCUAACUACGUG
RNAcentral lists this ribosomal RNA (468 nucleotides) under uncultured bacterium. Its description in RNAcentral is "partial 16S ribosomal RNA". It matches the Rfam family "Bacterial small subunit ribosomal RNA", at positions 28 to 507 of the family's 1533-position model. The record is from RNAcentral.